AAAGCUUGAGAUGAUUUCUUGCGGUGUAGAGGGGUAGGAGUGUCUCAUGCGAACCCAUUAUUCUACUCUAAUAGAAUGAUCACACAUUGUUUGGAAGCAAGGGGUAGAUACAUUAUCAAUGACCCCACUUCACUUACAACUUUUCCCAGUAAAAAAAACGGAUUCAGAAAAGUGAGAAGAGAGAAGGGGAACCAGAAAAAGAUUACCUGCAGAUCCAGGUACUUGUUUGAGUUGAUUCCAUGUGUUCAGUGAUCGAUACUCUCAAGGUAAAGUCUACAUCUUUUGUUUAUAUGAAU
Molecule: long non-coding RNA, 296 nt
Filed under: Brassica rapa (field mustard)
Lineage: Eukaryota; Viridiplantae; Streptophyta; Magnoliopsida; Brassicales; Brassicaceae
Description: long non-coding RNA (BRAP_LNC004411)
Source: RNAcentral